AUCUGCCUUUCAGAGGGGGAUACCGAUUGGAAACGAUCGUUAAUACCGCAUAACAUAAUUGAACCGCAUGAUUUGAUUAUCAAAGAUUUAUCGCUGAAAGAUGAGCUCGCGUCUGAUUAGCUAGUUGGUAAGGUAACGGCUUACCAAGGCGACGAUCAGUAGCCGGACUGAGAGGUUGAUCGGCCACAUUGGGACUGAGACACGGCCCAGACUCCUACGGGAGGCAGCAGUGGGGAAUAUUGCACAAUGGAGGAAACUCUGAUGCAGCGAUGCCGCGUGAGGGAAGAAGGUUUUAGGAUUGUAAACCUCUGUCUUCGGGGACGAAAAAAGACGGUACCUGAGGAGGAAGCUCCGGCUAACUACGUGCCAGCAGCCGCGGUAAUACGUAGGGAGCGAGCGUUGUCCGGAAUUACUGGGUGUAAAGGGAGCGUAGGCGGGAUCGCAAGUCAGAUGUGAAAACUAUGGGCUUAACCCAUAAACUGCAUUUGAAACUGUGGUUCUUGAGUGAAGUAGAGGUAAGCGGAAUUCCUAGUGUAGCGGUGAAAUGCGUAGAUAUUAGGAGGAACAUCAGUGGCGAAGGCGGCUUACUGG
Molecule: ribosomal RNA, 591 nt
Filed under: uncultured Lachnospiraceae bacterium
Lineage: Bacteria; Bacillati; Bacillota; Clostridia; Lachnospirales; Lachnospiraceae
Description: bacterial SSU rRNA
Rfam family: Bacterial small subunit ribosomal RNA
Source: RNAcentral